GAUGAACGCUGGCGGCGUGCCUAAUACAUGCAAGUCGAGCGAACAGACGAGGAGCUUGCUCCUCUGACGUUAGCGGCGGACGGGUGAGUAACACGUGGAUAACCUACCUAUAAGACUGGGAUAACUUCGGGAAACCGGAGCUAAUACCGGAUAAUAUAUUGAACCGCAUGGUUCAAUAGUGAAAGACGGUUUUGCUGUCACUUAUAGAUGGAUCCGCGCCGCAUUAACUAGUUGGUAAGGUAACGGCUUACCAAGGCAACGAUGCGUAGCCGACCUGAGAGGGUGAUCGGCCACACUGGAACUGAGACACGGUCCAGACUCCUACGGGAGGCAGCAGUAGGGAAUCUUCCGCAAUGGGCGAAAGCCUGACGGAGCAACGCCGCGUGAGUGAUGAAGGUCUUCGGAUCGUAAAACUCUGCUAUUAGGGAAGAACAAAUGUGUAAGUAACUAUGCACGUCUUGACGGUACCUAAUCAGAAAGCCACGGCUAACUACGUG
This 497-nucleotide ribosomal RNA is filed under the name uncultured bacterium. RNAcentral's name for it is "partial 16S ribosomal RNA". It matches the Rfam family "Bacterial small subunit ribosomal RNA", at positions 28 to 507 of the family's 1533-position model. The record is from RNAcentral.